AAGUAUCGAUUGAGAUUUUUUAUUAUAAAAAUCAGUAAAGUAAAAAAAAAAUUAUAUAUUUGGUAACGCUUUUUGCAAUUACGUCAUAAAUAGCAGUGCUGAUGGGCCAAGAUCUUAAGUUUGACAGAGCUAAUGGUUCAGAACUUGAUGUGUUAUUACACUUGUGAAGAAGUGAAACAGCUUCGUGAUGUCAGAGUUAAAUCAAAAUCUCACCCUUCUACACGAUGCAGUGCCCAAGUCUAGCUGGCUUGGGUGUUACAAAAAUUUAGAUUUACCAAUCAACAAGAAUGCA
Long non-coding RNA from Daphnia pulicaria, 292 nucleotides. RefSeq lists it as uncharacterized. Lineage: Eukaryota; Metazoa; Arthropoda; Branchiopoda; Diplostraca; Daphniidae. The record is from RefSeq and is a predicted model, not a curated record. The transcript is spliced from 3 exons.